RNAcentral lists this ribosomal RNA (485 nucleotides) under uncultured soil bacterium. Its description in RNAcentral is "bacterial SSU rRNA". It matches the Rfam family "Bacterial small subunit ribosomal RNA", at positions 26 to 490 of the family's 1533-position model. The record is from RNAcentral.
AGAGUGAACGCUGGCGGUAGGCCUAACACAUGCAAGUCGAACGGCAGCACAGUAGGAGCUUGCUCUUACGGGUGGCGAGUGGCGGACGGGUGAGGAAUACAUCGGAAUCUACCUUUUGGUGGGGGGAUAACGUAGGGAAACUUACGCUAAUACCGCAUACGCCCUUCGGGGGAAAGCCGGGGACCAGCAAUGGCCUGGCGCUGAUAGAUGAGCCGAUGUCGGAUUAGCUAGUUGGUGAGGUAAUGGCUCACCAAGGCGACGAUCCGUAGCUGGUCUGAGAGGAUGAUCAGCCACACUGGAACUGAGACACGGUCCAGACUCCUACGGGAGGCAGCAGUGGGGAAUAGUUGGACAAUGGGCGCAAGCCUGAUCCAGCCAUACCGCGUGGUGAAGAAGGCCUUGGUUAGUAAAGCCCUUUUAGUUAGGUAAAGAAAAGCAAGUUCGGUUAAGUUACCCGGUGUUUCUAGUAACGGUAACCCGAAAAG